AUGGGAAUUGAUGGGAAAUGAUGUAAAUAUAUCACUAGCCACUUUAAACAAUGCUACCUUAUAUAAUGUUACUUACCCUACAUUAUUCAUCUCAUAUGCAUACGUAGAUACUGUACUCUAUAUCAUCGACUGCAUCCUUAUGUAAUACAUGUAUCACUAGCCACUUUAACUACGCCACUUGGUUUACAUACUCAUCUCAUAUGUAUAUACUGUACUCGAUAUCAUCUACUGUAUCUUGCCUAUGCUGCUCUGUACCAUCACUCAUUCAUAUAUCCUUAUGUACAUAUUCUUUAUCCCCUUACACUGUGUAUGAGACAGUUUUUUUGGAAUUGUUAGUUAGAUUACUUGUUGGUUAUUACUGCAUUGUCGGAACUAGAAGCACAAGCAUUUCGCUACACUCGCAUUAACAUCUGCUAACCAUGUGUAUGUGACAAAUAAAAUUUGAUUUGAUUUGAUUUGAACACAACAUAUAAUUAGUGAGCAUUUCUCCUUUGCCAAGAUAAUCCAUCCACCAGACAGGUGUGGCAUAUGGAGUAUUUCUGUCUGUAAUAAAGCAAUUUUUGGGGGGAAAAACUCAUUAUGGAUUGGCUGGGCAUGGCUCCCCAGUGGCUGGGCCUGGCUCCCCAGUGGGUGGGCCUAUGCCCCCCCAAGGCCCACCCAUGGCUUCACCCCUGCCCAGUUAAAUGAAAUCCAAAGAUUAGGGCCUUCAUUUCCAUUGACAAUAUUCCUUCCAUGAACUGUAACUCAGUAAAAUAUUUGAAAUGGUUGCGUUUAUAUGAUGAUGCGUUCACAUUUUAGUUCAGUGUACAGAGACAUAGAUAUAGGUAGAGUAGAUUCACAGGUUAUGAUGAAGACAGAGGGGGUAGAGUAGACUCACAGGUUAUGAUGAAGACAUAGAUAUAGGUAGAGUAGACUCACAGGUUAUGAUGAAGACAGAGGGGGUAGAGUAGACUCACAGGUUAUGAUGAAGACAGAGGGGGUAGAGUAGACUCACAGGUUAUGAUGAAGACAUAGAUAUAGGUAGAGUAGAUUCACAGGUUAUGAUGAAGACAUAGAUAUAGGUAGAGUAGAUUCACAGGUUAUGAUGAAGACAUAGAUAUAGGUAGAGUAGAUUCACAGGUUAUGAUGAAGACAGAGGGGGUAGAGUAGAUUCAUAGGUUAUGAUGAAGACAUAGGGGGUAGAGUAGAUUCACAGGUUAUGAUGAAGACGUGUAGAUUCACUGGUUAUGAUGAUGAAGAUGAGUAGAGCGUACAGAGACCGGUGGAAAGGUAUGGAUUGCAGUUUUGGGGUCACGAUUCGGUUUUGGUAUAGGGGGAAAAUGAACAGUUUGGCUUCGGCAGUUAACUUCUGUUAACGAAAUAAGAUACACGUUGGUACUUCUGAUUCCAUAUCCACCAUAACAGGCCUGAUGAGAGCACCAUCUUCUGAAAUGAAAACACCACGACUCAUCAACACUAGGAGAAAGUGACAUGUGCAAUCAAUAUGGAAACAUGGCUCAGACAUGGAAAAGACCUGUUUUCUUACGAAGACAAACAUAUGCGCACUUGUGUGACUCAAAGGGGGUGUGUCUAUGGCACUGUAGUUCUUUCCCAGUCCGGGGUCAUGUGAUGGGCUGUCACUUAACAGUCCGGGGUCAUGUGAUUGGCUGUCACUUAAUAGUCCGGGGUCAUGUGAUGGGCCGUCACUGUGAAGUAACUGUGUAACCCUGGAGAUCCAUCCAUCUGUAGGCAGCCCAACACAGGCUGGAUUGGCCAAUUCAUUGUCAACUUCAGCUUUAACUAGCUUAUAUAUGGGUAGCCUGUAUACUGAAAUGAGUGAGAGAGUGAAGAGCCUAAUGUGGCUAGAACACUUUCACAAAGUGCAGAAACGCUCUAACCCCGACAUCCUGA
This is a long non-coding RNA of Oncorhynchus tshawytscha (Chinook salmon), 1890 nucleotides long. The record is from Ensembl. NCBI's taxonomy places the organism in Eukaryota, Metazoa, Chordata, Actinopteri, Salmoniformes, Salmonidae.